This 498-nucleotide ribosomal RNA is filed under the name uncultured bacterium. RNAcentral describes it as "bacterial SSU rRNA". It matches the Rfam family "Bacterial small subunit ribosomal RNA", at positions 903 to 1397 of the family's 1533-position model. The record is from RNAcentral.
AAAUGAAUUGACGGGGACCCGCACAAGCAGUGGAGUAUGUUGUUUAAUUCGAUGCUACGCGAGAAACCUUACCGACCCUUGACAUCCCGUUCGCGAUUACCAGAGAUGGUUUUCUUCAAUUCGGUUGGAACGGUGACAGAUGCUGCAUGGCUGUCGUCAGCUCGUGUCGUGAGAUGUUAGGUUAAGUCCUGCAACGAGCGCAACCCACACCCUAUGUUACCAGCGGAUAAUGCCGGGGACUCUUAGGGAACUGCCCGCGUCAAGCGGGAGGAAGGUGUGGAUGAUGUCAAGUCAUCAUGGUUCUUACGGGUCGGGCUACAAACGUACUACAAUGGUGAUAACAAUGGGUCGCUAUGCCGCAAGGCAAAGCCAAUCCUUAAAUAUUGCCCCAGUUCAGAUUGUUCUCUGCAACUCGAGAACAUGAAGUCGGAAUUGCUAGUAAUCGCGGAUCAGAAUGCCGCGGUGAAUUCGUUCCCGGGUCUUGUACACACCGCCCGU